GAUGAAGAACGCAGCGAAAUGCGAUAAGUAGUGUGAAUUGCAGAAUUCCGUGAAUCAUCGAAUCUUUGAACGCACAUUGCGCCUUCUGGUAUUCCGGAAGGCAUGCCUGUUCGAGAGUCAUUAACAACCGUUUCGAUCCCUUUCUUUCAGAAAUUACAAAGAGGAAAAGGGUUUGGUUAUGGUGGAGGAGGGAAAGGGAGCGUUUAGCCUGUAAAAAAAGAGGCUGUGUUCCGCCUCCCCCCCAAAAUUGUACAGGCGGUCGUGUGCGCCCACGCAUCGAGGUGUUGUAAAAGCUGCCACGGCACUUUUCACCUGUGCAGUGCGAGAUUGGCCAGCCGGUUUAAAAACCCCUCCAAACAAUCAAAGGUUGACCUCGGAUCAGGUAGGGAUACCCGCUGAACUUAAGCAUAUCAGUAAGCGGAGGA
RNAcentral lists this unclassified non-coding RNA (425 nucleotides) under soil metagenome. RNAcentral's name for it is "partial contains 5.8S ribosomal RNA, internal transcribed spacer 2, and large subunit ribosomal RNA". The stretch from base 1 to 120 matches the Rfam family "5.8S ribosomal RNA", at positions 35 to 154 of the family's 154-position model. The record is from RNAcentral.